RNAcentral lists this ribosomal RNA (2823 nucleotides) under Methanobacteriota archaeon. RNAcentral's name for it is "Euryarchaeota archaeon (hot springs metagenome) 23S ribosomal RNA". It matches the Rfam family "Archaeal large subunit ribosomal RNA". The record is from RNAcentral. Lineage: Archaea; Methanobacteriati; Methanobacteriota.
AUUUGGGGGAUGGCUCGGCUCGGGCGCCGAGGAAGGUCGUGCCAAGCAGCGAAAUUGCUUCGGGGAGGUGCAAGGACCCUUUGAUCCGAAGAUCGCCGAAUGGGACCUCCUAGAUUCUUAUCUGGUCCGUAAGGACCGGGAACCCCCUGAAUUGAAGCAUCUUAGUAAGGGGAGGAAAAGAAAUCAAUUGAGAUGCCGUUAGUAAAGGCGAUCGAACACGGCGCAGAGCAAACCGAAUCCUUAAUUGAAAAAUUAAGGAGAUGUGGAGUUGUAGACCUCGUUACACCAUCGUUCACUGACCUCAAGUUCACUGGAACGUGACGCCGUAGAGGGUGAUAGCCCCGUAAGGGAAGGUGAAAAUGGUGAGUGCGAGGUAUCUAGAGUAGCGUGCCUUGGAUAUGGCGCGUGAAUGGGUGGCAUCAACAUCCAACUCUAAAUACGUCCCGAGACCGAUAGCGCAAUAGUAGCGCGAGCGAAAGCUGAAAAGUGACCUUGACGGGAGGUGCAAAGAGCCUGAAACCAAAUAACUACAGGCUUAUGCGGCAUGAAAGGCGCAAGCCAGUGUCGCAUUAUCCGUGUUGAAAAACGGGCCAGGGAGUUAUGACUCAUGGCGAGGCUAAGAAGGGAACUUCGUAGCCAAAGGGAAACCAACUGCCCGCAGAGCAAUCGAGGGGCGGGAUGGGCUCGUCCGAAGUCAUGGGUGGUAGACCCGAAGCCAGUUGACCUAUUCCUGGAUAGAUUGAAGCCUGGGGAAACCCAGGUGGAGGAUCGAACCGAUAUUGAUGUGCAAAUCAUUCGGAUGAUCUGGGUAUAGUGGUGAAAGUCCUAUCGAAGCUGGAAAUGGCUGGUUCCUCCCGAAACUACCCGCAGGUAGAUCUCGACGGAGGUUGAAUGUGGGGUAGAGCACUGAUUGGUCAUUUAGGGGUCGAAAGACCCCGGUGACCUGUCAAACUCCGAAUCUGCAUUCACCGUAGAUGUCGGGAGUGAGGGCACGACGGGUAAGCUGCGUGUCCGCAAGGAAAUGAAUCCGGCCUCAAGUUAAGGUCCCUAAGUGUCAGCUAAGUGUGAUGUAAACGGUGUCCAUGGUCUUAGACAACUAGGAGGUGGGAACAGAAGCUGCCAUCCUUUAAAGAGUGCGUAACAGCUCACUAGUCGAGAUUGUGGGCCCGGAAAAUGGAAGGGGCUAAGCUGAUCACCGAUACUUGAGAGCACCGAAAGGUGAUCUGGUAGGGAGGUGUCCUGCGUGGACCGAAGUUGGGGAGUGAUCUCCAAUGGACCGCGUUGGAAUAAAGAUCCUGGUAGGAGUAACAGCAAAGAAGGGUGAGAAUCCCUUCCGCCGAAGGGGCCAGGGUUCCUCGGCAACGAUCAUCAGCCGAGGGUUAGCCGAUCCUAAGGCAGUCCUUAAUCGGAACUGUCGAAAGGGAAGCAGGUUAAUAUUCCUGCGCCACAGUAACCUUUGGCUGGCUUCUGACGCAUCAGGGUAAAUCAUGCAGACUAACCAGUCUGUCAAAAUGUAUAAGUCUGGGGAGAGCCGUAAUGGCGAGAACCAGAUGAAAGCAAAUUGGCCCGACCCAAGGUUGGGUUUGGUUGAGCCCCGGUGCCCGUGAAAAGGAAGUCAGUGUCAGUUAUUGUGUUCGUACCUAGAACCGACACAGGUGCCCCUGGGUGAGAAGCCCAAGGCGUGUUGGCUACAAUCUUCGCGAGGGAAUUCGGCAAAUUAGCCCCGUACCUUCGGUAUAAGGGGUGCCAGCCAUGAAAGUGGCUGGUCGCAGUGACGAAGGAGCACCGACUGUUUAAUAAAAACGUAUCUCGCAGCAAGUUCGAAAGGAUGUGUAUUGCGGGUGAAGCCUGCCCAGUGACGGUAUCUGAAAACCGGUUUCAACCGGACGAAGGACCGUUAAACGGCGGGGGUAACUAUGACCCUCUUAAGGUAGCGUAAUACCUUGUCGCUUAAUUGGCGACUUGCAUGAAGGCCCAACGAGUGCUCUACUGUCCCCGCGAAGAAUCCAGUGAAACUGAUAUACAGGCGUACAAUCCUGUACCUUCCACCUGAAAGCGAAGACCCCGUGGAGCUUUACUGCAACCUGUCGUUGUGUUACGGUUUUGGAUGUAGAGCGUAGGCAGGACUCGACGAAGGCCGGACGCCAGUUCGGCUGGAGAGAACCAUGUAACACUGCCCUUCUGAAAUCGUAACACUAACUCGAAAGAGGACACCGAUAGGCGGGCAGCUUGGGUGGGGCGCCACGCCCUCGAAAAGAUAACAAGGGCGCCCAAAGGUCAGCUCAGGUAGGUCAGAAAUCUACCGUAGAAUGUAAGGGUAAAAGCUGGCUUGACGUGGUUAUGCCCAACGAGUAACCACGAUACGAAAGUAGGGCCUAACGAACCAUUGAGUCCUCCUUGAUGGGGGCCAAUGAUAACAGAAAAGUUACCCCGGGGAUAACUGAGUUGUCUUCAGCAAGAGCUCAUAUCGACCUGAAGGCUUGCUACUUCGAUGUCGUCUCCUCCUAUCCUGGUGGUGCAGCAGCUGCCAAGGGUGGGGUUGUUCGCCCAUUAAAAGGGGUCGUGAGAUGGGUUUAGACCGUCGUGAGACAGGUUUGUUGCUUUUUGGUGGAAGCGCUUGGUGUCUGAGGGGAAGGUUCCUUUAGUACGAGAGGAACAAGGAAUCGUAGCCUCUAGUUUACCAGUUGUCCGGUCGGGCAUUGCUGGGCAGCCACGCUGCAAGGGAUAAGGGCUGAAAGCAUCUAAGCCCGAAACCCCCCCUAAGACGAGACACCAAUAGAACACCCGUAAAAGACGGGUUUGAUAGAGUUGGGGUGUAAGUGC